CUACGUGCCAGCAGCCGCGGUAAUACGGAAGGUCCAGGCGUUAUCCGGAUUUAUUGGGUUUAAAGGGAGCGUAGGCUGGAGAUUAAGUGUGUUGUGAAAUGUAGACGCUCAACGUCUGAAUUGCAGCGCAUACUGGUUUCCUUGAGUACGCACAACGUUGGCGGAAUUCGUCGUGUAGCGGUGAAAUGCUUAGAUAUGACGAAGAACUCCGAUUGCGAAGGCAGCUGACGGGAGCGCAACUGACGCUGAAGCUCGAAGGUGCGGGUAUCGAACAGGAUUAGAUACCCUGGUAGUCCGCACAGUAAACGAUGGAUGCCCGCUGUUGGUACUUGGUAUCAGCGGCUAAGCGAAAGCAUUAAGCAUCCCACCUGGGGAGUACGCCGGCAACGGUGAAACUCAAAGGAAUUGACGGGGGCCCGCACAAGCGGAGGAACAUGUGGUUUAAUUCGAUGAUACGCGAGGAACCUUACCCGGGCUUGAAUUGCAGAGGAAGGAUUUAGAGAUA
Molecule: ribosomal RNA, 505 nt
Filed under: uncultured bacterium
Lineage: Bacteria
Description: bacterial SSU rRNA
Rfam family: Bacterial small subunit ribosomal RNA
Source: RNAcentral